AGGAUAUUAGUUAAAUAAUAACAAUUAAAUUGCAUUUAAUAAUUAAAACAAAAUUUAUAUCUUA
RNAcentral lists this transfer RNA (64 nucleotides) under Andrena angustior. RNAcentral's name for it is "tRNA-Ala". The record is from RNAcentral. Lineage: Eukaryota; Metazoa; Arthropoda; Insecta; Hymenoptera; Andrenidae.